This 253-nucleotide ribosomal RNA is filed under the name uncultured Sediminibacterium sp. RNAcentral's name for it is "partial 16S ribosomal RNA". It matches the Rfam family "Bacterial small subunit ribosomal RNA", at positions 524 to 776 of the family's 1533-position model. The record is from RNAcentral. Lineage: Bacteria; Pseudomonadati; Bacteroidota; Chitinophagia; Chitinophagales; Chitinophagaceae.
UACGGAGGGUGCAAGCGUUAUCCGGAUUCACUGGGUUUAAAGGGUGCGUAGGCGGGUAGGUAAGUCAGUGGUGAAAUCCUUGAGCUUAACUCGAGAACUGCCAUUGAUACUAUUUAUCUUGAAUAUUGUGGAGGUAAGCGGAAUAUGUCAUGUAGCGGUGAAAUGCUUAGAUAUGACAUAGAACACCCAUUGCGAAGGCAGCUUACUACGCAUAUAUUGACGCUGAUGCACGAAAGCGUGGGGAUCAAACAGG